AAAAAAAAAAAAAAAAAUAAAAAAAAAAUACGAGACUGGUAACAGAUUUAUAGACAUCAGUCUGUCUUUGUAGGAUUCUGCACACGUGAAGGGCAGCUAAGGAUGAAUUUGAAGCUCGGCGUUGAACGCGCUCUGUCUUUCCGACUAGUUCAAUUGACUGCGGUGAUCAGACUUGGGUGGCGUAGCCUAAUGCAGGACGCACAAUUGCCAGGUAGAGCGUGCGGCGGGUGUUUGGAUUUAUGACUUCCACAGCAGAUCUGCGCAGGAAGCCAAGCAACUUGUUAGCCUUUGCACAACGGUCAAAGGUGUGUUUUGAUCAGGUAAGCGCCCCUAUGCUGGGGUGUAUAAAAAAGUUUAUCCAACUUUGGCAUGUGAUCAUGAAAUACAGAUUACAUUUUAAAACCAUUUACUUUUUUCAUACCAACAAAAAUCAGGCUUUUAGCUGUCGAAUGAUACUUUUCUUAUGUCCGCACGAAAUCGCAUUUUCCACCGUUAGGAAUUGCAUGUAAAGUUAUGGUCUGAGAAUUAAAAUUAUUCUCAUUUGGGAUUCAAGUUGAAGUCGCUUGAAUUCGGCAAGAUGGCGCAACGCAUAAGUAAGCAUCAAGUUUUGGUAAAGUUCUACUUGCAAUUUCGCAUCGAAAUUGAGUGGUUAAUUAAAACAUUUUACAGAACUGGAAGUUUGCAGACUCGGGCAACAACCACUUGGGCA
Molecule: non-coding RNA, 709 nt
Organism: Paramuricea clavata
Lineage: Eukaryota; Metazoa; Cnidaria; Anthozoa; Malacalcyonacea; Plexauridae
Source: the annotation of a GenBank genome assembly